Molecule: long non-coding RNA, 354 nt
Filed under: Capsicum annuum
Lineage: Eukaryota; Viridiplantae; Streptophyta; Magnoliopsida; Solanales; Solanaceae
Description: long non-coding RNA (CANN_LNC021984)
Source: RNAcentral
AAGAGAGAACCACGAAAGAAAAGAUAAAAAAAAAGAGAAAGGCAAAUUUAUCUCACACUCUCUCAUUUGCCACCUGACAAUGGAGGCCUCGGUGGAGGCUUCAUUGACAGAGGAGGAUGAGGCAGAGCAUCGUCUUUUAGUGCUGAAACUUUGGCUAGAAAAGCUUGCAAAAUGCUAUUGGGAUGAAUAUGUUCUGUUUGUUUUGAACAGUCCUCAUCAACAUCAAAAUACUCUCCUUGAACUUUUUAAGGUGUAUUAUUUUUUUUUUAUUUUCAGAGGUUUACAUUGAUAUUUUGGUUUAUUAUUUUUUAUUGUUCACAUCGAAUUUUUGGAAAUUAUUUUGUAUAAUUCUAU